CUAGAUUCUCUAAAGGAACCUUUAACAAUGCAUGACGUGUUAAUUGAAACCCCAUGAUUCCGACAUCUUGAAGGCAACGUGUUAUGGAAAACUUCUCUGGAGCAGAAGUAGCCAGUCUUUUGAGGGAGGGGGAAAUCAGCAAGGCCAAAGCUAAAAAGUGGGGCAGAUAUUCCCUUUAAUCUUUCCACCCAAUGUAGCAGACUAUCAAGAAAGGAAAAUAUCACUAAUGCCAGAGAUGUCAAAUCAAUGCUUCAAAGCCUUUUGAAUUAGACUAAUGGCCUCAUCUACUUAGGCCAAGGGGCAGGGACACUCAGCUACUUUUGUUUACACAACAGUAAUCCAAAGUUAUCUAAGAACUGUCAUAUGUUAAAUGCUGGGGUUGACCUUCCAGUUGAUCAGGAACUUGCAACUGAGGUAGAAUGUGGUAGCUAGGUUGUGAAUAGGGCACCUAACUGUGCAGAGCUGUGCUGGAAUUAUACUACAGCUAAACUAAGUUCCUGGCCGCCUAUUAGCUAAUCAGGUAGAUCCUAAACAACUUGGAAUUAGGACAACUUGUGGCAGUCUAUCUUUGCUAUUAUACUACAGGUCUAGUUAGUCACCAAGAUCAUCAGUAAGAUCUUGCUGAAAUUCCAAAGUUCCCAACAGGAAAUCUUCUUUCUGUUACAGUGGCACUCCUUCAGCCCAGUAGAGGGAAAAUAUUGCAGCCAUGUUUCCUUCUUGCCAACAUGCAACCAUCUUUGUGAUCCAAAGCAGCCUUCUGUGAAGUCAAGCCACAGGGUGAGACUGGACUCAGCUGAUAUUAAUCUUCAGCAACACUGCCUGAUCAUCAGAGAGGUUUACAAAAACACUCCAUCCCUCCUUACCCUACAAUUCAGAGGAAGCCUAAAGCCUCAUUAGAAUAUGGAAGACUUUAAAAGUUGUCUGGCUCUUAAAACCCCAUUAAUAUAUAAUAUAAUUCUUUCUCUUUUCUUUUUGGACACUCUAUGCUGCCAGGAAGGAAAAAAAAUAUGACACUAUGAAAACCACGAGCUCCUUCUAAGAGGGAGUUGUGGCGUGUCAGUCAAUUAAUUUGAAACGCCAUAGGCUCCUG
Pseudonaja textilis is the source of this 1090-nucleotide non-coding RNA. Lineage: Eukaryota; Metazoa; Chordata; Lepidosauria; Squamata; Elapidae. The record is from RefSeq and is a predicted model, not a curated record.